GGUGGUCAGUGUAAUGUAUGUUCAACAGGUCAGUGUACUGUAGUCUCUAAGACUCACCACAGAGUGAGACUGGUACCUGCCGACAGGGACUGAGAGAUAUCGGACUCCUGUGCGAUGGUUCCAUACAAA
RNAcentral lists this small nucleolar RNA (129 nucleotides) under Salmo salar (Atlantic salmon). Lineage: Eukaryota; Metazoa; Chordata; Actinopteri; Salmoniformes; Salmonidae. The record is from RNAcentral.